This 30-nucleotide small RNA is filed under the name Bombyx mori (domestic silkworm). Its description in RNAcentral is "ovarian small RNA-10832". The record is from RNAcentral. Lineage: Eukaryota; Metazoa; Arthropoda; Insecta; Lepidoptera; Bombycidae.
AAUGCCCUGAAGGAGCUGGGAUUCCCGGCC